GCCGGGCGUGGUGGCUCACGCCUGUAAUCCCAGCACUUUGGGAGGCCGAGGCGGGUGGAUCACUUGAGGUCAGGAGUUCAGGACCGGCCUGGCCAACAUGGUGAAACCCCAUCUCUA
RNAcentral lists this non-coding RNA (117 nucleotides) under Gorilla gorilla gorilla (western lowland gorilla). The record is from Rfam by way of RNAcentral. Lineage: Eukaryota; Metazoa; Chordata; Mammalia; Primates; Hominidae.